CAAAAGCCCUAAACCCUAAUUCUAUCUUAUCCUUCACCUAUCAUCCUCUGCUGUCACAUCGCCCUUCUUCUUCUCUCUUCCUCUGCUCUCGAUUCCACCACCUCCACUUUUGCCUCGCCUUCCACCUCGAUUCUGCCGCCCCUCACCCUUGUCGUCUCCGUCUACAAUGGCCGCAAGUGGCUCACCUGAGGCUUCUGCGCCGCCAAGCUAAUGGGUCGUAUCCUCUUCACUGUUCACCUCAACAACGCCCUAUGUCGCCCCAACACCAUCAACAUCGGGUUGCUCAUGCUUGCUAGGAUCCGCGGUUCGUGUUCCAGUUCAUUGACCAAUCAGAGUGCAGCUCUAUGGUUUCCCAGAUUAAGGGGAAUAUCAGACAACCCGUUUGCAAGUCGAGUUCGGUUCUAGACGAACCUACAGAUCCCCGUGGUUCAAAACUGCAACUAUUGGUGCAGCUUGCUUCAAAUCUCUGGCAUUAAGGUCUAGAUCAUUUUCUGUCAUUGCUAUGUCUCUGUCUUGGGUCAUUUGCAAAGUUGAGUUAACAGAACUUGUGCACUCAUCUUUCAUGGUUCAUGAUCAUCAAAGCAAUGAUGGCUGCCCAUGAUAUCCUGCUGGAGGACCUGAGAAGAAUUAGGAAAGGAAUUAACCAAGCUACUGGUGAUUUUGACUGGAAUUACUUUUAAACCAGUUGUAACCAAAUCAUUCAAUGAUACUUCACCAGCACAUGCGGAAAUUACUGAUGAUGAAGCACCACUUCAACUGUCUAACAGCGUGCAAAUCAGUGCUGAGAUAUGGAGCUUUACCAUGAAGUCUGUGUGCUGUAAACAUAAGGCAACAGGGGAGCAUGCUAUGAGACGAUGUGAGUUCUUCCAUGUGUAGAAUUUGCUCCUUUAAUUGCCAAAUCUUUGGGUAGGAGAUAAGCUUGUAAUGUGAACCUAUGUAGUUCCUUCAUAAGUUUCUUUUGGUAUUUUGGCUAACUGAUUGUGUCUAUCUAUUCAUCAUAAUUUUGAACACAAAAUGUGGCAUAUUGUGGAUCCACCUCAUCAAUUUUUCUUAGAUAUAUAAUUAUAUAUCGGUGUUUGAGAUAAAUUAAAGCAAAUAAGUGGACUGAUGUUUGCCCAAGGAAAGGAUUUGUUGUCAUAUUUGCAUUUUGGUAUCAGUUUAUACUGCACAUUGAUUGGACUGACCCGAAUAA
This is a long non-coding RNA of Lotus japonicus, 1192 nucleotides long. RefSeq lists it as uncharacterized. The record is from RefSeq and is a predicted model, not a curated record. The transcript is spliced from 5 exons. Lineage: Eukaryota; Viridiplantae; Streptophyta; Magnoliopsida; Fabales; Fabaceae.